UACAGAGGUCCCAAGCGUUGUUCGGAUUCAUUGGGCGUAAAGGGUGCGUAGGCGGCGCGGUAAGUCGGGUGUGAAAUCUCAGAGCUCAACUCUGAAACUGCACUCGAUACUGCUCUGCUUGAGGACUGGAGAGGAGACUGGAAUUCACGGUGUAGCAGUGAAAUGCGUAGAUAUCGUGAGGAAGACCAGUGGCGAAGGCGGGUCUCUGGACAGUUCCUGACGCUGAGGCACGAAGGCCAGGGGAGCAAACGGG
This 253-nucleotide ribosomal RNA is filed under the name uncultured bacterium. RNAcentral describes it as "partial 16S ribosomal RNA". It matches the Rfam family "Bacterial small subunit ribosomal RNA", at positions 524 to 776 of the family's 1533-position model. The record is from RNAcentral.